GUGGGGAAUAUUGGACAAUGGGCGAAAGCCUGAUCCAGCAAUGCCGCGUGAGUGAUGAAGGCCUUAGGGUUGUAAAGCUCUUUUACCAGGGAUGAUAAUGACAGUACCUGGAGAAUAAGCUCCGGCUAACUCCGUGCCAGCAGCCGCGGUAAUACGGAGGGAGCUAGCGUUGUUCGGAAUUACUGGGCGUAAAGCGCACGUAGGCGGUUACUCCAGUCAGAGGUGAAAGCCCGGGGCUCAACCCCGGAACUGCCUUUGAAACUAGGUAGCUAGAAUCCUGGAGAGGUGAGUGGAAUUCCGAGUGUAGAGGUGAAAUUCGUAGAUAUUCGGAAGAACACCAGUGGCGAAGGCGGCUCACUGGACAGGUAUUGACGCUGAGGUGCGAAAGCGUGGGGAGCAAACAGGAUUAGAUACCCUAGUAGUCC
This 425-nucleotide ribosomal RNA is filed under the name uncultured bacterium. Its description in RNAcentral is "partial 16S ribosomal RNA". It matches the Rfam family "Bacterial small subunit ribosomal RNA", at positions 354 to 796 of the family's 1533-position model. The record is from RNAcentral.